Molecule: long non-coding RNA, 390 nt
Filed under: Gouania willdenowi (blunt-snouted clingfish)
Lineage: Eukaryota; Metazoa; Chordata; Actinopteri; Blenniiformes; Gobiesocidae
Description: lncRNA (ENSGWIG00000012489.1)
Source: RNAcentral
CUAGACCUGAAAAUGUUUGGGAGAGCAAAUCACGUGUCAGUUGAGGAGACAAAUAUUUCUGAAGCCAAAAUGGAGUCACGUAAGACUGACGACACUGAUGCAGUUCCCAGUGUCAAAAGCAAAGUCAAAGCACGUCACAGCAGCCGAUCUGGAGCUACGUCACUGGACAAACUGGACACUAAAAGUGAUGAGGUGACUGACGUAUCUAGUGACGACACCGAUCCAGUUCCCAGUGUCAAAAGCAAAGUCAAAGCACGUCACAGCAGCCGAUCUGGAGCUACGUCACUGGACAAACUGGUAAAUUCAUACUCAAUGGUGCGUCAGAGACUUUGGGAGACCCUCGCAAGGUGAUGUUGGUGAACUCACUUUGCUGCAGAAAACGUUUCUUCA